RNAcentral lists this ribosomal RNA (923 nucleotides) under marine metagenome. Its description in RNAcentral is "bacterial SSU rRNA". It matches the Rfam family "Bacterial small subunit ribosomal RNA", at positions 586 to 1520 of the family's 1533-position model. The record is from RNAcentral.
AGUUGGUGGUGAAAUCCCAGAGCUUAACUCUGGAACUGCCAUCAAAACUUUUCAGCUAGAGUAUGAUAGAGGAAAGCAGAAUUUCUAGUGUAGAGGUGAAAUUCGUAGAUAUUAGAAAGAAUACCAAUUGCGAAGGCAGCUUUCUGGAUCAUUACUGACACUGAGGAACGAAAGCAUGGGUAGCGAAGAGGAUUAGAUACCCUCGUAGUCCAUGCCGUAAACGAUGUGUGUUAGACGUUGGAAAUUUAUUUUCAGUGUCGCAGCGAAAGCGAUAAACACACCGCCUGGGGAGUACGACCGCAAGGUUAAAACUCAAAUGAAUUGACGGGGACCCGCACAAGUAGUGGAGCAUGUGGUUUAAUUCGAAGAUACGCGCAGAACCUUACCAACACUUGACAUGUUCGUCGCGACUUUAAGAGAUUAAAGUUUUCGGUUCGGCCGGACGAAACACAGGUGCUGCAUGGCUGUCGUCAGCUCGUGUCGUGAGAUGUUGGGUUAAGUCCCGCAACGAGCGCAACCCUCACUUUUAGUUGCCAUCAUUAAGUUGGGCACUCUGAAAGAACUGCCAGUGAUAAGCUGGAGGAAGGUGGGGAUGACGUCAAGUCCUCAUGGCCCUUACGUGUUGGGCUACACACGUGCUACAAUGGUAUCUACAACAGGAAGCAAGACGGCGACGUUAAGCAAAUCCUUAAAAGAUACCUCAGUUCGGAUUGCACUCUGCAACUCGAGUGCAUGAAGCUGGAAUUACUAGUAAUCGUGGAUCAGCGUGCCACGGUGAAUGCGUUCCCGGGUCUUGUACACACCGCCCGUCACACCAUGGGAGUUGGUUCUACCUUAAGGCAAGGUUUAAAACCCUUGACCACGGUAUAGUCAGCGACUGGGGUGAAGUCGUAACAAGGUAGCCGUAGGGGAACCUGCGGCUG